AGGGCUGAUUGUUUUGGAUCCGUUAGUGUUGAGUCAAAGUCGUGCAAAGUUGUUAUUGACAGUAACAAAAACAAAGAAGCUCAGAUGAUCGUACCUAUUUUAAUUUCCAAAAUGCAUAGAUGAUAUCAAACUAAGCAACAAAAUGCAAAUUGAUUUGCAAUCUGCUGGAGAUGUUAGAGGUUGCGCAAUUCUACCAAAUGGCAAGAUGAUGUUCUGUGAUUAUACUAAUCGAAUUUUAAUUUCGUUGAAAAGCAAC
Molecule: long non-coding RNA, 256 nt
Filed under: Mytilus galloprovincialis (Mediterranean mussel)
Lineage: Eukaryota; Metazoa; Mollusca; Bivalvia; Mytilida; Mytilidae
Source: RNAcentral